Molecule: ribosomal RNA, 394 nt
Filed under: uncultured bacterium
Lineage: Bacteria
Description: partial 16S ribosomal RNA
Rfam family: Bacterial small subunit ribosomal RNA
Source: RNAcentral
AUACGUAGGGAGCGCGCGUUGUCCGGAAUUACUGGGCGUAAAGGGCGCGUAGGCGGCGCUUCAAGUCGUCUGUCAAAUGGGAGGGCUUAACCCUUUUUCGCAGACGAAACUGGAGAGCUUGAGAAGCAGAGAGGCAAACAGAAUUCCUGGUGUAGCGGUGAAAUGCGUAGAUAUCAGGAAGAAUACCAGUGGCGAAGGCGGUUUGCUGGCUGCAUACUGACGCUGAAGCGCGAAAGCCAGGGGAGCAAACGGGAUUAGAUACCCCGGUAGUCCUGGCAGUAAACGAUGUAUGCUGGGUGUGAGACUAGCGAUAGUUUCGUGCCGAAGUUAACGCGAUAAGCAUACCGCCUGGGGAGUACGGUUGCAAGAUUGAAACUCAAAGGAAUUGACGGGG